Molecule: long non-coding RNA, 101 nt
Organism: Thalassophryne amazonica
Lineage: Eukaryota; Metazoa; Chordata; Actinopteri; Batrachoidiformes; Batrachoididae
Exons: 3
Source: RefSeq, a predicted model, not a curated record
AAUUAGACACAGGUGUGCAGAACAUUCAGGAAGGGGGCGUGGCCAGAUGAAUCAAAGAUGAGCAAAAACAGGAGGCAAGAGAGUGAGUGUCAGAUGGGCAU